CAAGUUGGCUGAGACUCGGGGGGAGAGGACAUAGAGCCCACUUCUCCAUGACAUUUGCUCGGACGGGGGGUCCCAACUGCCCCAAUAGCUUUGGACAUCCCAUGUGCAUUGCUUGAAUGAGCAGGACCCCAGGGUUCUUCCAGAGGAGCAGAAGUCUCAGGGUGUCAUGGUGAGUCAAGAAACAUUUUGGCUCAUGGUUACAAAUUAUGCGUUUACUGUAUUCAUCUUCGUGCAUGCACACAUGCAAUGUUUUACAAAGCAUCUGUUGAGUGUCUACGGCACAACACACACGUUCUGGUGCUGGAGAUCCUGCCCUGGCUGAGCUUCUGGACCUGGUGGGGAGAAAUCCACAAUGAGUACUGAGACGACCGGCAAAAGCCCGGUGAAGGCACCUAGGAGUAGGGCCUGCUUACCCUGGAGGAGUCGGGAGCAGCUUCCACAGCAAGGAGGCUUCUAAGGAAUGAUCUCCAGUGCCCAGGCUCUGAUGCCCAACAGACCUGAAGUUACAUCCCAACCUGAACAGGCGGCUUUUGCUCUCCAGGCCUUCAUUGCCCCACAGUGGGAACAAUAAUAAUAUGCACCUUCUAGGUACCCAAAAGCACAAGAGACAGUGAACGGAAAGUGCUUGGAAGCCCCGUGCCCAGGUGGUGCUGGCCCCAGCUGAACUGCGGGGAUAGAUGUUGAGUGUCCAGGUUCUAGCAUCAUAGAACAGAAUCCGGCCUGUUGGGAAAUCCUGCCUACAAGUAUACCUCCAUUAAUUAGUGUCUUCUGUGAACAUUUUUAUUAAAAAAAGAAGAAAAGCUUCUCAACCCAAG
RNAcentral lists this long non-coding RNA (815 nucleotides) under Homo sapiens (human). RNAcentral's name for it is "long non-coding RNA NONHSAT182260.1". The record is from RNAcentral. Lineage: Eukaryota; Metazoa; Chordata; Mammalia; Primates; Hominidae.